GACCUCGAAUCAGGUAG
This 17-nucleotide ribosomal RNA is filed under the name Epichloe amarillans. RNAcentral's name for it is "partial 28S ribosomal RNA". The record is from RNAcentral. RNAcentral also lists the same sequence under 1 other name. Lineage: Eukaryota; Fungi; Ascomycota; Sordariomycetes; Hypocreales; Clavicipitaceae.